AGGAGGAGGGUGAGGAGGAGGCCGAGGAGGGUGGAGGGGAGGUUGAUCCCGCGUUGUGGGGUGACUUGCCACCGGGUUCUUCGCAGGGGUGGCUGCGUGGUAAUGCCGGACUACCUACACCACCUUCUAUCGAGGAGCACAAGUGGCUCAUUGAACCUGUGGGGACAGAAAACUGGAUCCUUCACGGAAAGGGCCGUAAACCGAACGGCCUUAUCACUGUCCUGUUGAAGGAGUUUUGGCCUGGCCUAUUUUGCCCGCGGCCAGACAGGGACCCGCAGCAGCGGGUUUUGGCCACGAGCUGGGCCCACUACGAGGCUUGCAGCAACGCGGAGUACGGGACGACCGCUAAGGCCGUGAUCACCAAAUUUUGGCAACUCUAUAGAGUUCUUGACGAGCACAAGGCCAGAGCCGACGUGGUCUUGCUUGCGGCUGCGAAGAAGAAAGCUCGUCAGUUGCAGUACGAGGUGCGCUGGGUUGCC
Triticum urartu is the source of this 479-nucleotide long non-coding RNA. RefSeq lists it as uncharacterized. The record is from RefSeq and is a predicted model, not a curated record. Lineage: Eukaryota; Viridiplantae; Streptophyta; Magnoliopsida; Poales; Poaceae.